AUUGAACGCUGGCGGCGUGCCUAACACAUGCAAGUCGAGCGGUAACAGGUGUAGCAAUACAUGCUGACGAGCGGCGAACGGGUGAGUAAUGCUUCGGAAUCUGCCCAUGUAGUGGGGAAUAACCAGCCGAAAGGUUGGCUAAUACCGCAUACGACCCUUGCCCACAAGGCAAAGGUGAAAGCAGGGGAUCGCAAGACCUUGCGCUAUUGGAUGAGCCGAAGUCGGAUUAGCUAGUUGGUAGGGUAACGGCCUACCAAGGCGACGAUCCGUAGCUGGUCUGAGAGGACGACCAGCCACACUGGGACUGAGACACGGCCCAGACUCCUACGGGAGGCAGCAGUGGGGAAUAUUGGACAAUGGGGCAACCCUGAUCCAGCGACGCCGCGUGUGUGAAGAAGGCCUGCGGGUUGUAAAGCACUUUUAGU
This 425-nucleotide ribosomal RNA is filed under the name uncultured bacterium. RNAcentral describes it as "bacterial SSU rRNA". It matches the Rfam family "Bacterial small subunit ribosomal RNA", at positions 30 to 440 of the family's 1533-position model. The record is from RNAcentral.